GAUCGUUUUCAGCAUAGUCUCUGUCCGCUGUAACCUGCUUGUGGUACGGAAAAGAAAAAGAAAGAACUUCAGGCGUAUCUUACAACUGCGUAGUUGAGAAGCCCGUUAAAUGAGAGCUUCGCAAAGCUGGUUGCGUUGUGGUUGAAAAAAUCGAGCAUUGGUAUCUGCUAACGCCGCGUUAUAAUAAUGUACACAAGGACGUAAACAGAAAUAAAGGGAGACAUAGCAUUACUAAUGUUGUCGAGUCCUCUCCAAUGGCUAGUGAACGAGAAAAAACUGCAGCAAAGGCAGGACGAACAAAACUAGCAAGAAACAAGCUUGCUUCCUGUACCUGUGGCGUAUACAUGCUUCAAGUCUUCAAGAGACACCUUACCGAAUAGUUGAGGCCAAACAUCAAGUGCCUGCUCCAGUACACAGGUACAAAAGUCCUUCAAGCAUCAAAGUAAAAAAUUUCCUCCUUGAAUAAAACCAUUCGGAAAAGAAAAAAAACAGUAAGAAAACUAAGUGAAUGAAAGCUUGCAAAAUAGAAAACUACCCGAAGUACUUACGUUUUGCACUUGGCCAAACUCAGUUGUUAUCAUUUCCAGCCGCUCACGAGCCUUGCCGUAUAAAGGGCUCGCCCUCAAGUAACUUAGCUCGGUGUCCUCCCAACGAAACUACGCACUUGAAAACUUUGAGAAACAAAAACUCGAUAGUCCAGUACCGUGUUGUCGAGCUCCGCUGGUUGAGGAAGACACGAGAUGUAUGGUGCCCAUACUGACGAGAAAGAUUUAGCAAAGCGAAGACGAAAAUGUUGAGAGUAAACUUGCCUGGCCUUUGUAGCGUUCCAUGAGGACAAUAAGAGCAAGUUUGGUCCACGGCUUAACAGUGCUGGGCAAAACCGUGCUGAGCUGGUCAGGAAGAUCGCUAGGAGCUAUCAUCUGGACGUAAACAAGAACCAACAUUAUCCCCUGCGCCAUAGACUCAUCAAUGAAUCAAAAGGAAAAAACUAAAAACCGAUACUCGACCUGCCCGCCAGAUUCUCGCGAAGUCCCAAUGCGCACCGCCGAUGGAUCGCCAUCAUCGUUCCGGCUCGCGAGCCACGACAUAAAACCUGCGUAGCCAUUGCUCAGCUUCCGCUGCGCCUGGUUCUGGAAUAAUCACGCCCAGAACUCGCGAAAGCGAUCGAUCCACAGUCGAUCUGUCAGCGUACCUGAAGCGCCCAACAGCUCCUCGAGAUCGAUCCAGCCGCGCCGGGAAGAAGAAGAAUCCUGGGCGGCCUACAUUUCUCCUCUCCAAAACCAAAACAUAUGUAUUGCCACGUCAUGGGAAAGCGUCGCUGAUGUGGCAGAUUCUCGUGCUUGCCACGUAUUGAGUGCCUGCCACGUGGCAAUCGUAUGAGCUACAAACCCCGUGAUUAGCUCCACAACAAACACCCAACACUUCUACCGGAGUUUUGUCAUGAAGAGCCUGUGGAAAUUGUACCGGAACUGGAUCUAGUUGCUCAUCCUUAAGUCCAGGAAUUCCGAGCUGGUAGUCGCGAUUCUUUCCCCACGUAUAUAGUUCCCCACACUCUGAAAGCAUAUGAGCAUUUCUUAAGGCUACUAACAAGUGAUUGCUGCUGUCCAAGCUGGUCGACAAGCAAUGUAAGGAAACUGGGGAAAAAAAACCGCGACGCAGCAAGCUUCCGAGAUGAGUUGAUGUUGAACCAUAUGGUGUCGUUCUUGCCAAAGUCGGACCUCCUCACCACCUGUGAGUGGGCAAGAACGUACUUGUGUGGCUGCUGCUCUCGGCCGGAGAGUCAAUCUCGAUGUUACUGAGCCGCAUCCACAACACAGAGCGCAGAGUCUUUGUGUCGAGCAGCAUCAAAGUGUUGGGGACGUGACUGCACAGCACCAGUUUCGUACAAAUGGACGGUUUCCCGACUUUCACUCCACCCAGAGACAAGGUUUGCAUUUACAAAGAUGGAGAUCACAAAAGUACCACUUUUGUUCAUGCAUUUGUCUCUUUUUACUUUGGCAGAUUCACAGUCAUGUAUCUCUCCAGGAGGAGCUAGCUUGCUCAAGUCGGUCGAUGAUCCCAGAACGCUCAACAAGGCUCUUUACGCUCGCUCGAAUGACCGGGAGCACGCUUGAAAAGAGGUGGAUGAGCGAGGAUGGAUUCUUCUACACAUCAAUGGUGAGAGUUUUCAUUUGUGAGGUCUACUGAUGGGAUUGCUUGGUUUUGCAAUCCCGUCAGUAGACUGGGCUAAGUAUUAAUUACCAAGGAAGCAGUGUAAACAAGCUUAAUGUUGUUACUUUAAUGCUUAAGUAGACUAAUAUUUAGAAAGUUUUAAUCUUCAUUUUACAAACAAAAUUUGGCUAAUGGGUUUUUUUUUUUUUUUUUGCUAUUUUUUUCAGUAAAUUGCAAAUUGUUGAAGGCAUGAAUAGCUUUGCUGUUGACCAUAUUGUGACUCAACUACAGUGUUAAUAAACUGUGAUUGUCCUGGAAGUAAAUGUGCACCAAUCUUAGCUAACUCAUCCGCAACCUGAUUUCCAACGAUGUCAUAGUGCCCCUUCACCUUACAAAAAUGAACUGGAACAAAUGAUGUUCCUGCAAGCCAAACAAUCGUCUGGAUGAUAUCUGCAUUUGGGUGGUGACCCAGGGCUAUUGGAUCUUGCACAUACAUCUCCAGCAGCGUCAAGGAGUCAUAACUGUCGGUGUAUACAAAGACUGGCUCCCACAAUCCCCAGUGCCAUUCCAUCUCCAAACAAAUUUCAAGGGCUCGCAUCAAACCCAACAGCUCAAACGUGAUAGUGGAGGAACUUGUAUGUAAGUUGUCGUUUGCCCUUCUUCCACAAGCGAGUCGCAUAGAAACUCUCGAGAUAAACACUCCAUAACCUCCGAAAACUCUGCGCUUGAAAGAUCCAUCAGUAAAAGCUUGUAAUCCAUGAUCGCUAGCUACCAUUUCCCACGUACGCAUGACCUUGUCCACCUCAAACAUAUUUCACUUGCUCGCCUUUAAUGCUCUCUUCCUGUUCUGAAAAGUAUACCUAACCCAAAAAGGCAAUCGCAUUUUAUAUAAGCUAUGGAAAUAAUGUUUUAAUUUGGAAAUUCGAAGUGUCCCUGAGGACGAAGAUGAUGCACGAUCCGAUAGACCAACAGCUCUAGAAACCUGCCAAUGCGACUUAGAAACUUCAUCCUUUCGUCUGGAUCGAGCCUGCAAUCAGGAAAGCUGAUCACACUAUCGCUUGCUGUUUAGAACUUGAAGAAAAGCCAGAAGGAAAAAAGCAGCGUUAGCAGGAGAGAUCAGCAUGGCAGCCGGGGGCGGCGAUCUUAUAUGGCAGUCGCUCCUCCUGUCGUUUUCCAACCGCCUCAUCCGACGCAUGCACGCGCUUACCGAUUUAUAUUCCACGGCUUACACCAAGCAACGCUGUGCUUUCCUGGAGAAAAACAAGGCCUUCACAAAACCAGAAAAAGAUCUUGUCUCCCAAAGUUAUGCCUGGCGUGUGCCAUCCAGCCGAAAUGCUUCACGCUCUUUAAAACUCUCAGCUCACCAUCUAGGACGCGUUUUCUUUUUUUCUUGCAAGAAAUGCUCAUAUGCUUUCAGAGAAUGGGGAUCUAUAUACGUGGGGAAAGAAUCGCGACUACCAGCUCGGAAUUCCUGGACUUAAGGAUGAGCAACUAGAUCCCGUUUUGGUACAAUUUCCACAGGCUCUUCAUGAGAAAACUCCGGUAGAAGUGUUGGGUGUUUCUUGUGGAGCUAAUCACGGGGUUUGUAUUGUUUCGAGACCCAAACCAGCUCAGGUAACACAGAGCUUGUAACAUUGGAAUUCGUAAACAAAGACGCGAUGGUAAGGUGAUAAUCCUGGAUGUCAGCUCCACUAUGAAGAAGGCUUACACUGUGAUGAUUCUUCCAUUUGGUUUUGAUUUUGAGUGAGUAUGGAGCCCAAGAGCAGGAUUCUGAUCGUUGGAGCUACGGGAUACAUCGGCAAGUACAUCGCUACUGCUAGUAUUCAAUCGGGUCAUCCAACUAGUAUACUAGUUCGUCCACAGGUACUUUCAAGCUAUCUAUAUUUCUUCUUUGAUCUCUGGGGUGAGUUUCAGGUGUCAAAACAUGUUGAUAAAGUCCGGUUCCUGGUUGGGCUAAGAAAAGCCGGAGCAACGAUUUACACCGUACUAGCUAUCAUCAGUUACUUGGUGUUGGUUCACUUACAUUUCUGCUUUUUGGAAACCAGUGCUUUCUGGAAGACCGAGAGGAUCUUGUGCGAAUAUUACAGCAAGUCGAUGUUGUGAUCUGCGCUCUUGGGGAAGAUCAACUAAAGCUCCAGUACGAUCUCAUCAGAGCCGUGAAAGAAGCUGGAAACAUCAAGGUGAAGUUUACGGUUUUCAAGUGAAUCCCGACUUACACAGUUGUCUUCUCCAGAAGUUCUACCCCUCCGAGUUUGGGAUGGACGCGGAUAGGAUCUGCAAGGACCAGUCCAUUCCCGAGAGCCCCAUGUAUAGGGACAAGGUAGCUAUCCGGAGAGCCAUCGAAGCAGCAGGAAUUCCUCAUACGUUUUUCAUGGCGAACUGUAUCAUGGGGCUCAUGCUCGCCAGUUUCGUACAAAUGGACGGUUUCCCGACUUUCACUCCACCCAGAGACAAGGUUUGCAUUUACAAAGAUGGAGAUCACAAAGGUACCAGUUUUGUUGUUUCUAGAUCAUGCAUUUGUCUCUUUUUACUUUGGCGGAUUCACAGUCAUGUAUAUCUCCGAGGAGGACCUCGCAACUUACUUGCUCAAGUCGGUCGAUGAUCCCAGAACACUCAACAAGGCUCUUUACGUUCGCCCUCCCGGAAACGCCUUGACAAUGAACGAGCAAGUAGCAUUGUGGGAAGAAAUGACCGGCAGCACCCUUGAAAAGAGGUGGAUGAGUGAGGAGGAGGUUCUUCUACACAUCAACGGUGAGAGCUUUCAUUUGCGAGGUCUACUGACGGGAUUGUUUGGUUUUGCAGAUGCUCAAACUCCAUUGCAGCUCAGAGAGGUGUGGACGCGCAUCUAUCACGUUUUUUACAAUGGAGCUAUGUGCUUCGAGUUGGCUCCGGAUGAUAUUGAAGCCACUGCUUUGUAUCCUGAGGUAGAGUAUACUUCUCCACAAGUAUAUCUCAAGCCUUAUGUGUGCUGAUUCCUUGAUCAACAUCCUUGAUCAACACGGAGCUUCAACAAUGAAUACUAACUUGCUCCACGUAUCAAGCAGAAACGUGCACGGCAAUCUUGAAAAUGUUCUGGAGGCAAACUCCAUAAGUUCAAUAAUGUUAGUUUUCUUCUCUCAGGAAUCCAAAGUGUUUGGUUACGAAGAUCUUAUUCACAUUUUCACACUUGUUCCUGCACAACCAGCUAGAGGUCUCUUUUGUCACUAAAGUAGUGAGUGAAGGAGGUGUCAUUGAGCAACUUUUCCUUGAGAGUUUUAGGCAGCAAGAUGUGUACGUCGACACUGCUGCUUUGAUCGAUUGAUCUGAGCUGGAAAAAGUGCUACAAACGAUGGCAGACAAGAGAAUGCAAGACUGAGCUAAUGCACCACCCCGCCACCCAAAAUCAUUGCCUGGAAACCUCCACAGAGCUGUGCUAUAAUGCAUUGAUGCCAGCAUUGCCCCAGGAAAGUCCAGCUACGUAGAGCUUGUGGUCUAAAAUUUAAAAAGCUAAGCAUUACUUACCACCAAGGAAGCAAUGCUCAAGAAAAUUAGCAUUUAGAAAGUUUUAAUCUUCAUUUUACAAACAAAAUUUGGCUAAUGGUUUUUUUUUUUGCUUUUUGUUUUUCAGUAAAUCACAAAUUGUUGAGGGCGUGAAUAGCUUUGCUGCUGACCAUAUUGUGACUCAACUACAGUGUUAAUAAACUGUGAUUGUCCUGGAAGUAAAUGUGCACCAAUCUUAGCUAACUCAUCUGCAACCUGAUUUCCAGCGAUGUCGUAAUGCCCCUUCACCUUACAAAAAUGAACUGGAACAAGUGAUGUUCCUGCAAGCCAAACUAUCGUCUGGAUGAUAUCUGCAUUUGGGUGGCGACCCAGGGCUAUUGGAUCUUGCACAUACAUCUCCAGCAGUGUCAAGGAGUCAUAACUGUCGGUGUAUACAAAGACUGGCUCCCACAAUCCCCAGCGCCAUUCCAUCUCUAAACAGAUUUCGAGGGCUCGCAUCAAACCCAACAGCUCAAACGUGAUAGUGGAGCUUGUAUGUAAGUUGUCGUUUGCCCUUCUUCCACAAGCGAGUCGCAUGGAAACUCUCGGGAUAAACACUCCAUAACCUCCGAAAACCCCGCGUUUGAAGGAUCCGUCAGUAAAAGCCUGCAAUCCAUGAUCGCUGGCUACCAUUUCUUGAGUACGCACGACCUUGUCCACCUCAAACAUAUUUCACUUGCUUGCCUUUAAUGCUCUCUUCCUGUUCUGGAAAGUAUACCUAACCCAAAAAGGCAAUCGCAUUUUAUAUAAGCUAUGGAAAUAAUGCUUUAAUUUGGAAAUUCGAAGCGUCCCUGAGGACGAAGAUGAUGCACGUUCCGAUAGACCAACAGCCCUAGAAACCUGCCAAUACGACUUAGAAACUUCAACCUUUCGUCUGGAUCGAGCCUGCAAUCAGGAAAGCUGGUCACGCUAUCGCUCGCUGUUUAGAACUUGAAGAAAAGCCAGAAGGAAAAAGCAGCGUUAGCAGGAGAGAUCAGCAUGGCAGCCGGGGGCGGCGAUCUUAUACGGCAGUUGCUCCUCCCGUCGUUUUCCAACCGCCUCAUCCGACGCAUGCACGCGCUUACCGAUUUAUAUUCCACGGCUUACACCAAGCAACGCUGUGCUUUCCUGGAGAAAAACAAGGCCUUCACAAAACCAGAAAAAGAUCUUGUCUCCCAAAGUUAUGCCUGGCAUGUGCCAUUCAGCCGAAAUGCUUCACGCUCUUUAAAACUCUCAGCUCACCAUCUAGGACGCGGCAGCUAGAAGUUGUCUACUUCUCGACCUCCAUGAGUGUUGAUUUAGUUCCUGCCAGACGGUGUUAGGGCCCAACCAGGAUUGAUUUUUCAUGCGUCUCGAUUCGCCGUGCUACUUCCAGGCACACAGGAGAACCUUGAAGUGGUUUUUGACCCCUGAGAAGCACAAACAAUGUGUCUCUUCAAAGAAAAAGGAAUGUGUUUUACAGCGUGUUUCCGCCAAGUUGAUCUUUAAUUAUCGUGUUCAUUUCCGGGAAUUGCGUCAAUAGCUCAGUCUGCGGUUUGUGAAAAGUGAUUCAGCACCACACCUCUUAGCACGCUCAUUACCUCGUCAUACGGAUUUUCAGGCACAGUGAAGCCAUAAUCAAGUGCAAGCUCUGCGUUUGAAAGAUCACCAUAGUUUAUCCAAAUCUGCGAAGCCGAAUGAAACAUGAAAACAAAACAAAGACCACUGCCUCUACCUGAUCGUUUUCAGCAUAGUCUCUGUCCGCUGUAACCUGCUUGUGGUACGGAAAGGAAAAAGAAAGAACUUCAGGCGUAUCUUACAACUGCGUAGUUGAGAAGCCCGUUAAAUGAGAGCUUCGCAAAGCUGGUUGCGUUGUGGUUGAAAAAAUCGAGCAUUGGUAUCUGCUAACGCCGCGUUAUAAUGUACACAAGGACGUAAACAGAAUUAAAGGGAGACAUACCAUUACUAAUGUCGAGUCCUCUCCAAUGGCUAGUGAACGAGAAAAAACUGCAGCAAAGGAAGGACGAACAAAACUAGCAAGAAACAAGCUUGCUUCCUGUACCUGUGGCGUAUACAUGCUUCAAGUCUUCAAGAGACACUUUACCGAAUAGUUGAGGCCAAACAUCAAGUGCCUGCUCCAGUACACAGGUACAAAAAUCCUUCAAGCAUCAAAGUAAAAAAUUUCC
This 7814-nucleotide long non-coding RNA is filed under the name Selaginella moellendorffii. RNAcentral's name for it is "long non-coding RNA (SMOE_LNC000011)". Lineage: Eukaryota; Viridiplantae; Streptophyta; Lycopodiopsida; Selaginellales; Selaginellaceae. The record is from RNAcentral.